Molecule: unclassified non-coding RNA, 242 nt
Filed under: Hevea brasiliensis (rubber tree)
Lineage: Eukaryota; Viridiplantae; Streptophyta; Magnoliopsida; Malpighiales; Euphorbiaceae
Source: RNAcentral
GCUUGACAAAGAAGGGCCUGAGAAAAAAAGAAACUUUAUAGUGAGAAUGAUUCUCUCUUGGUGGAUACAAGCUUUCAAAAGAAAGAACCAUAUUCCAAGUCACAACCUCUAUGCUACACAGGCCCACAAUUGCUAGCUGGAUCACAAUUACUUCUCAACUAAGUAUGCGCAAAAUUGAAGGCUUAUUGCAUGAUUCUGUCUCGUUUAUGUAAUAUGCUUAAAAAUGGAAUAUAGGUAGGUUC